ACACGCCUACACACACACACACACACACACACACACACACACACACACACACACACACACACACACACACACACACACACACACACACACACACACACACACACACACACACACACACACACACACACACACACACACACACACACACACACACACACACAAACACACGCACAUACACGCCUACACACACACACACACACACACACACACUAAUGGGAUUGAAUUUGGAUCUGAAAUGGCUGCGAGCUGAAAUCAAAUGUUGUCUCACAGACCUUACAGAAUUACCCACCACAACAGGACCAAGCAGAGGAGGAAUACUGGCGAGGACUGGGGAACACAGCGGGUAAGGGAACCCGAGAGGCAGCCCCAAUAAUUUUUUUUGGGGGGGGCACAAGGGCUGUUUGACGGGGCGAGGAUGGAGCCACAGGCCAGCUCCCCGUACCCUGUUUAGGCUGAAACAGACUGGACAGGUCCCGUGCUUUGGGGU
RNAcentral lists this long non-coding RNA (487 nucleotides) under Salmo salar (Atlantic salmon). RNAcentral describes it as "lncRNA (ENSSSAG00000113577.1)". The record is from RNAcentral. Lineage: Eukaryota; Metazoa; Chordata; Actinopteri; Salmoniformes; Salmonidae.